This 23-nucleotide non-coding RNA is filed under the name Arabidopsis thaliana (thale cress). Lineage: Eukaryota; Viridiplantae; Streptophyta; Magnoliopsida; Brassicales; Brassicaceae. The record is from RNAcentral.
UGAUAAGAAUAGUUCGUAGCGUA